RNAcentral lists this ribosomal RNA (253 nucleotides) under uncultured bacterium. RNAcentral's name for it is "partial 16S ribosomal RNA". It matches the Rfam family "Bacterial small subunit ribosomal RNA", at positions 524 to 776 of the family's 1533-position model. The record is from RNAcentral.
UACGUAGGGACCAAGCGUUGUUCGGAUUUACUGGGCGUAAAGGGCGCGUAGGCGGCAAUUCAAGUCAUCUGUGAAAUCUCCGGGCUUAACUCGGAACGGUCAGAUGAUACUGCUUUGCUAGAGUGCAGAAGGGGCAAUCGGAAUUCUCGGUGUAGCGGUGAAAUGCGUAGAUAUCUGGAGGAACACCGGUGGCGAAGGCGGCAUCCUGGACCAAUACUGACACUGAGGAGCGAAAGCCAGGGGAGCGAACGGG